This is a non-coding RNA of Pelobates cultripes (western spadefoot toad), 683 nucleotides long. The record is from the annotation of a GenBank genome assembly. NCBI's taxonomy places the organism in Eukaryota, Metazoa, Chordata, Amphibia, Anura, Pelobatidae.
AAAUUAUUUUUUUUUAAUUUAUUUAUUUUUAUUUUUUAGUCAUUGACAUAUUGACAGAGAUCACACAUUACAAGAAUUGUGCCUGUCACGGAAUGGAAAGGGUUAACUCUACCCACAUCCUGCUGUAGGUAGUGAAAUAUCUAGGGAUCAAUAAACCAUGUAAUCCUUAUGUCUUUCUUUCUUUCUUUCUUUCUUUAUUAAUUAAUUGAUUGUCAUAUUUUGGAAAGGCACACACCUAUGCACAGAACUUGCUAAAAGUUGUCACUUAACUGUGGAGAUCAGGAGUCCCAUAAAAAGCUGGGUGAAGAGUCUCGCAUUAACCAGAUGCUAGUAUCUUUUGUAAAUAGCCUCAUAAAAAGAAGAGCCGUAGAUUGUUAUUUUGUUAAUAUUUUAUCAUGUGUAAAUAUUUUAUAACGUUUUAAGGGAAACUAUUGAUACUAAAUUAUUAAGUUUGACAGAGGGACCUCUGAAUUAUGCAUACUAUUAAACACGUUUAUUACCUAUACAUUUGAGAAUAUGACUUUUGGUUUUGAAAUUCACUUUUCCUAUGGGUGUUUAUGCUUUUUAGCUUGAAAUAAACAUAAAUAAACCCAGCUGUGUGUUAUUUUGCUUUACUCAAAAAUCAUGUUUGUAUGUGUUUUUUUUUUUUUAUUAAUACAACAAUAAAAUUAAUUGAACAGUUG